This 4576-nucleotide long non-coding RNA is filed under the name Nicotiana tabacum (common tobacco). Its description in RNAcentral is "long non-coding RNA (NTAB_LNC001405)". Lineage: Eukaryota; Viridiplantae; Streptophyta; Magnoliopsida; Solanales; Solanaceae. The record is from RNAcentral.
GGGUAUAUAAAACAUAAGGUAAAUAUUUAUUUUUUUGUGCAAAGGAUAACUAUUCAUAUUAUUAAAGUAGAGUAGCAUAAGUAGUAGGAGAGAGCUUAGUCAUUGUCCUAAGGGGGCGACCAUUGAUGGGUCGUAACAAAAAGGGGAUCCCGGGGAGAAGAUACUAUUAUAGUGAUAUUAGGGUCCAUAUCUUGGGGAGUACAUAAAGUUGGUAGAGCCACUCUUCUAACAAAAAGCUUCUGUUUGCGAUCGAUCAUCUUUCAGUGUUGUACGAACAAAAGGUGGUGGUUGUGCAUAAAUAGUGAUUCUUGCAGAACUAUUCAUUUGGCUACCGGACUUUGCAAGUAGGUCAGCGACUUGGUUUUGUUCCCUAUAAGUGUAAAGUAUAGCUGGAUCAUCCAAGUAUGCGAGGAGGAAACUGCAAUCAUUUAUGAUGUUAGCAUAUAAAUGAUGUAAUGUCUGUAGGGUAUAUAGUAAUUAUUUCCUUGGCAUCUGGAUUCAAUUCUAGUGGCUUGUAUCCAUGAGUAAAAGCCAAUUGCAAGCCAUAAUAUAGUGCAAGUAGUUCAGAAAUUCAACGCUCCCAUGAGAGAUAUGGUGACCUGCAAAACCCAUAAGCCAGGUACCAGAUGAGUCACGUAUUACACCGCCAAUCUCGUCCGGUCCUGCAGUCAACUUACGGAAACCAUCAAUAUUUAAUUUAAAAUGAGUGGAGCGAGUGGGAUGCCAUUUGAUAUAUAUAUAUAUACCAAUGGUGCACGCUCGCGUGAGGACACUGGUGGAACCGUAAUGUAGUAGUAUGAAAAUAUGGGAUGAGGAGGGUGGUGUGGUGUGUGUGCGAUAUAUAUAUAUAUAUGUACCAAUGGUGUACGCUCGUGUGGGGACAAUGGUGGAACCGUAAUGUAGUAGUAUGAAAAUAUGGGAUGAGGAGGGUGGUGCGGUGUGUGCGCGAAACACUUUUUCAUUUCUAGCUAGCCAAAUAUGCCAUAAACAAUGUAGCUGCACCAUUGGAACAUGCCUACAAAUAGGAGUGACAAACAGGCGGGUCGGGUCGAAUAUUCGCGGGUCAAAAACAGAUAAUUUAAAAAAAAUGGAUAAAAAAUAGGUUAUCCGGCGGAUAAUAUGGAUAUCCAUAUUAUCCAUGGCUUCUUGAAUAUGAUCACUUAUGGGGGAAUUCCUAGACUCUCAAAUUUGAGGAACCCCCAAUUUGAGACUUUACAAAUGUAAAAGUUAAACACAUUAGUUAUCUAUUGGUUAUCCAUUUAGUUAACCAUUUUCUAAGUGGAUAAUAUGGUUCUUAUCCAUAUUCAACCCAUUUUUAGAAAAAUCCUUCAUCCAACCCAUUUUUUAAUGGAUAAUAUGAGUGGAUAACUAUUUGUUUUACCCAUUUUGCCACAUCUACCUACAAAUAUGCCAUAUAUAUAUAUAUAUAUAUGGCAUAUUUGUAGGCAUGUUCCAAUGGUGUAGCUAUCAGUGACGGAGCCAGGAUUUACACAAAGGGGUAUCAAAAUCUAAAGAAGAAGCCAAGAAAAAUAAUUCUACUAGUGACAGCAAAAUAAAAUUAUAUUAGUACAAUCGUACUCGAUGGGGUUUCAUUUCUUGAAAUAUUUUUACAAUAUCAUCAUUAGAAAUAGUACUAAAUACAUAUUUUUCUACGUAAGGCACCAAGCAACCACUUAAAAGUUCAUCAUUCAUUCGAUUACGUAUGCCAUUCUUGAUAAACUUUAUUGUCGAAAAAGCUCUUUCAACCGAUGCAGUGGCAACUGACAAAAGCAAAGCAAAUUUCACCAAGCAGAAUGCAAGAGGGGGGUUUAAAUACUUCUUUGUCUGAACCAAUUUUCUUGAAAGAUCACAAAGUCCAUUCAAAUUGGAGAACCUUUCAUCAAUAUCACAGACAUCAAUAAUGUAUGUCGCAAGCUGAUUCUCAAGAGCAUCCAUACUAACUUCAUCAAAGUCAUCAGGAUAUAAUUUAGCCAUUUUCAUGAUCUUCUUGAUGUCAAAACUAGAAAAUGAGUCAAUUGGAUUCAAACAAGAAACUCCAUGAAGCAAAUCAAUAGUCACUUCGUCAAAACGACCAUUGAGUUCUUGAAUUUGCCAAUCAAUAAUCUUACAAAACACAUCAACACGAUAAUGAUGUAAAAUAGUAUGAUCGGCAAAUUUACGUCGUGAUCUUAAAGAGUUAAAGUAUGGCUCAUCAAAAUUAGGUAUUAAAAUGCCAUACUUGAUACAAAAUGUAGAUACUUUCUCAAUAAGUGAAUCCCAAUCAUCUUCUCUUAAACUUUGCAACCUUCUCUUUGCUACUUCUACAAGUAGCAUGGCGUUUGCGAUAUCUUGCUCCUUUUUUUGUAAGCAUUUAUUUAGCUCAUUUGUGAUUGCCAAAACAUCUCUCAUCAAAUGCAACAUGAAUGCAACCUUAAAUGUUUGACAAGUUCUAAGAUAUCCCAUUGCCUUAGCUCUCUCAUCCAUCAAACGUGCAUCAACAACAAGUGCUUCAAGAACAUCAAGAAUAGAGCCAAACAUACGAAUAAAUUUUUUAAAAGAUUUGUAAUGAGAACCCCAACGAGUAUCACAAGCUCUUGAAAGACCAAGUUCUUGAUUCAAGCCUCUACCGAUUUUAAGCUCACCCAUAUCUAAUGCCUCUUCAAUUCUUUCCUUUUGAGAUUCUUGAAAUUCAUCCAUACGCUUAAAAGAAGAUCCCAACACAUUCAAAGUAUUUGAGACCAAAACUACAAGUUCUCCUACUUGAAUACAUUUUUUUGAAACAACAACAAGAGUUAAUUGAAGUUGAUGAGCAAAACAAUGAAUAGAAUGAGCCGAUCUACUUUCUUGCCUAAUCAACAUUUUAAGGCCAUUGAGCUCACCUUGCAUAUUGCUUGCUCCAUCGUAACAUUGCCCACAGACAUAUGAUAGACUUAAGGAAUGUUUAGCAAGUAAAUAAACAAUUGCCUUCUUUAGAGAUGAAGCACAAGUAUCAUUGACAUGAACAAUAUCAAUAAGUCGCUCCACCACAAAUCCCAUUCUAUCAACAUAUCGUAAGACAAUAGCCAUUUGCUCCUUUCGCGACACAUCAAAAAAUUCAUCAACUAAUAAGGCAAAAUAGUCACCAUUUAAUUCUGUAAUGAUAGCUUUGAUUGUUUCCAUCUUACAUGCAGCCACGAUAUCUUUUUGAAUCAUUGGAGAAGUCAUAUGAUCAUUUUGAGGAGCAUAUUCCAAUACAUAAUCAUGAUUUUUAUCACAUUCCUUUGCAUACUAUGAGAGAAUUUCAAGAAAAUUACCCCUGUUAAAUGAUGUUUUAGAUUCAUCAUGACCCCCGAAAUGCAAAUUCUUGCUUCAAAAGAAGUCUUACUACAUUAACCGAAGAAGUUAAGCGAAUCCAGUAAUCAUGCUUAACUUGAUCAGAUUGCCUCUCAAAUGCAGAUAUAAUGGAUUGUUGUUGCCAUAGUAGAUCUACACAUUUUCUUUUUGCAUGAUUAUGAUUGAUACUUGGCCCACCAACAUGCUUAUCAAAGCUCUUCUUUUUGUUCCAACUCUUAAACCCUAUGCUCGAAAAUACAUCACCUCCACCUUGAUGAAUGUUAUCAUCUUUAAACAAAUAACAACUCAAACAAUAUGCUGCAUCGUUACUUAUACUAUACUCCAACCACUCAUGAUAAUCAUCAAACCAUUUAGGAUUGAAACGACACAUUAAUCUAUAAAAAUCUGUUUGAGGAAAUUUAUGUUCUCGAGGUUGACAAGCACCUCUCUGAAUGUAUGCUCUUCUAAUCUCAUCGUGGAGGUUUGGAUGGUAGUCCAAGAUUUGAGUUCUUUUGGUCGGAUCGGGGUUUAAAGUUUCAAGAUUAAUUUGCUGUCUUUGAGAAGAAUAUAGUGGUACUUCUAAUUGGUUGCAAUCUUCGUCCAAGUUAGAUUGAUUAUUAGUGGCCAAAUUUGAUUUUGGUACUGCAUCUUCUUCCAAGUUAUAUUGCUUAUGAGGAGCGGCCAAACUUGAUUUCGGUACUUUGAAAAAAAAUUGCUUCAUUGAUUUUUGAUUAUGAAUUAUAAAAUAAAAUUUAAUUAGAAGAAAUACAAGUAAUAUUUUCUAUAAAAUAUCACAAUUCACAGUUAUAACAACUGUCAAGUUUGUCAAGAUUUCCAGACUUUUGGUACAUGGAUUUUCACUUAAAGGUAAAGAAACACUUAAAAGUCCAAGAUGCUCACACAGUCACACGAAUUAAAAGCAGCCUAACGAAUGUAAAUGAGAAAUUCAAAGGAACUACACAAACUAACCACAAAGUCAAUGAUAAAUAUAAAUGUGAAAUUCAAAGGAACUACACAAACUGACCACAAAGUCGAUCCAAUCCACCUUAAUAGAGUACCAAAGAUUUGCAAAGAGUAAAGGAACUUACCGUGGCUGUCAUGACAGGCGAAUAUCGACCAGUGAUUUGUAAAGAGGACCAACGACGGCGAGUCGGUGACAGCAAUGGGCACACACAACGCACUUGAGCAAUUUUGAGAAUGAGAGCACUAACUUUUGAAAUUAGGGAUUUCUUUAAUCCCAAUUUCGUUUGUUAGUUUCAAAAAGAGCACUUACAACUAAUAAAAC